AGAGUUUGAUCCUGGCUCAGAACGAACGCUGGCGGCGUGCCUAACACAUGCAAGUCCGACGUGAAAGGGGAGCAAUCCCCCGGUAGGGUGGCAAACGGGUGAGUAAGACAUGGGUGAUCUGCCCUGGAGAUGGGGAUAUCCCUCCGAAAGGGGGGGCAAUACCGAAUAGUGUCCGGUUCCGUGAAGGGGACCGGGGAAAGGGAGGCCUCUGGUACAAGCUUCCGCUCCUGGAUGAGCCCAUGGCCCAUCAGCUAGUUGGUAGGGUAAAGGCCUACCAAGGCGACGACGGGUAGCUGGUCUGAGAGGACAACCAGCCACACUGGCACUGAGACACGGGCCAGACUCCUACGGGAGGCAGCAGUGAGGAAUAUUGCGCAAUGGGGGCAACCCUGACGCAGCAACGCCGCGUGUGGGAAGAAGGCUUUCGGGUUGUAAACCACUUUUGCCCGGGACGAAAGGGAGUGCCCGAAUACGGCAGUCCGAUGACGGUACCGGGAGAAUAAGCCACGGCUAACUCUGUGCCAGCAGCCGCGGUAAGACAGAGGUGGCAAGCGUUGUUCGGAGUUACUGGGCGUAAAGAGUCUGUAGGUGGUCUGUCAAGUCUUUGGUGAAAGGCCGUGGCUUAACCAUGGGAAUGCCAAAGAGACUGGCAGACUGGAGGCUGGGAGAGGGAAGCGGAAUUUCUGGUGUAGCGGUGAAAUGCGUAGAUAUCAGAAGGAAGGCCGGUGGCGAAGGCGGCUUCCUGGAACAGACCUGACACUGAGAGACGAAAGCGUGGGGAGCAAACAGGAUUAGAUACCCUGGUAGUCCACGCCCUAAACGAUGGGUACUAAGUGUGGGAGGGUUAAACCUCCCGUGCCGCAGCCAACG
This 870-nucleotide ribosomal RNA is filed under the name uncultured bacterium. Its description in RNAcentral is "bacterial SSU rRNA". It matches the Rfam family "Bacterial small subunit ribosomal RNA", at positions 8 to 857 of the family's 1533-position model. The record is from RNAcentral.